RNAcentral lists this ribosomal RNA (483 nucleotides) under uncultured bacterium. RNAcentral's name for it is "partial 16S ribosomal RNA". It matches the Rfam family "Bacterial small subunit ribosomal RNA", at positions 30 to 506 of the family's 1533-position model. The record is from RNAcentral.
AUUGAACGCUGGCGGCAGGCCUAACACAUGCAAGUCGAGCGGAUGAGUGGAGCUUGCUCCAUGAUUCAGCGGCGGACGGGUGAGUAAUGCCUAGGAAUCUGCCUGGUAGUGGGGGACAACGUUUCGAAAGGAACGCUAAUACCGCAUACGUCCUACGGGAGAAAGUGGGGGAUCUUCGGACCUCACGCUAUCAGAUGAGCCUAGGUCGGAUUAGCUAGUUGGUGAGGUAAAGGCUCACCAAGGCGACGAUCCGUAACUGGUCUGAGAGGAUGAUCAGUCAACCGGGAAAUGAGAAACGGCCCAACCCCCAAGGGGGGGCAGGGGUGGGGAAUUUUGGAAAUGGGGCGAAACCCUAACCCAGCAAGUCGCGGUGGGUGAAAAAGGCUUUCGGUUUGUAAAGCACUUUAAGUUGGGAGGAAGGGAAGAAAUUUAAUCCCUUGCUGUUUGGACGUUCCCAACAAAAAAAGCACCGGCUAACUUCGU